Molecule: non-coding RNA, 1692 nt
Organism: Amborella trichopoda
Lineage: Eukaryota; Viridiplantae; Streptophyta; Magnoliopsida; Amborellales; Amborellaceae
Source: RefSeq, a predicted model, not a curated record
GUGUGAUAUGCCUUAUUUUCAGGGUCCAUGCACGUCCAUCACGUUACAAUGAAAACAAAGGCAAUUUUCGCAAAUCAGUGAUAAUGUCCCCCAAGCUCCCAGGCUCCGUGUCAUCUAGGAGCAAGCAUUUUCGGUCAAGAAAAGGUGCAGAGGGAAAGAAUUUCAUCUCUCAAGUUCAUCAACUGUCUUCAUGGAGAGAAGUGGAUCAACAACCCACCAAGACUUUACGAGGAAUAACAUUCUCAUCUUCGUCUACAUCUAAGUGUGGGUCUAAUGGUUUAGAUAACCCAGAAAGUACCCUUAACUCAAGCACACGAUCAAGCACUUUACAAACAAAAUCAUCAUCAUCGUCAUCUUCAUCUAAGUCUAAGCUCAGGUCCGAUAGUUCAGAAAAUGCACAAAGUAUCCUUUCUUCGAGGACACAAUCAGGCACUACCACUGAAAUGCAUCAGGAACCAAUAGUUCCAGAGGUAUCCAGUAGUUUUUUGUUGGCUGUCAGACUAAGCCUAAGGAAAAGUUUCACAACAAGGCAUGCAAUGAGAGUAGAGGUUAAACCUUCAAGGUUAUCGAAAGAUAGUAAGGAAUCAUCCAACAUGUCCAGUAUUGGGUCCUCACUCGAUCUCCAAAGAAGAGCUAGGCACAGCAAUGCCAGGUCAAAGCUGAAGGAAGAUAAUUCUCAAAUGGUGAGGAAAGCAUGUAUGAAAGAUAUGCAUACUAACGAUAAGACUCUAAAUACAGGGAAGAACUUUAAUGCUCAUCAUCCACAAGGAAGUUCGACUAUCAAAAGAGGGAAGGUUGUCUCUGCUAAAAGGGAUGACCAUGAACCUAUUUCGAAGGUAAAAACUGCUAAAACGGGUGACCAUGAACCGAUUUCAAUGGGACAAAGUGCAGUUUCUGCUGGAAGGCUUACAUAUGGUCACCGGGCAACUACUUUUAGGAAGCCUUUGAGGACAAUUACCACAACAGAAACUCAGAAUUAUAAAGUUGAAGUGGUUCCAAAAAGGAUUACAAAAGUUGAAAUGCACCCCAAAAAGGUCACAAAUAUUGGCAAAUCCCAGAGGGCUUUUGUAGAUGGAAAAGAAAACUCUGUGAAUGGGAAAGGAGAAGUGAACCCCAAAAGAAUUACAAAUGUCAGCAAAUCCCAGAGGGCUUGUGUUGGUGGAAAAGAAAUUGCUGCCUGUAGCAUUCAUCAGAAUCAGAAGACAUCUAAAUGUGGCUUACAAGUGAAGACUGGCAACACAUUGCAUGAUAAAAAGGGAAAAGGCUCUAGGAAUACUGAAACUACAGAAGGAAGAACUGUGAAUGGAGCUCGAAAUGUAUAUUUCCGUUAGGGCUAGCAGUGGAGAGGAUUCUAACUUUUUUGUACAUAAUAAGAAGAAAAAUACGGUCAUCAACUAUGCAAAUUGUUAUAUAGGAAUAUUCAGUGAGUUAAAGAUCAAUCCUUUUCAAAAGCAACGGGCGCUUUUAUCAAAUGUGCUUCGCUUCGGCCAAAGAGACCGAAGCCUUCGGAUUUUAGGCAUAAAUCGAAGAGAAUUGAAGCUUGGUGCUACCACUUCAGUCAGAUUCGGGUUGCUUCGGUCAGAUUCGGAUUGCUUCGGGUAGCAAAGAAAUAGCUAUAUAAAUGUUUUAUUUAUUUAUUUAUUUUUCUACUAGUUGUAUAUAUUAUAUAUAUGAGUAAUGAUUCUAUGAGAC